GACGAACGCUGGCGGCGUGCUUAACACAUGCAAGUCGAACGGAAAGGCCCUGCUUUUGUGGGGUGCUCGAGUGGCGAACGGGUGAGUAACACGUGAGUAACCUGCCCUUGACUUUGGGAUAACUUCAGGAAACUGGGGCUAAUACCGGAUAGGAGCUCCUGCUGCAUGGUGGGGGAUGGAAAGUUUCGGCGGUUGGGGAUGGACUCGCGGCUUAUCAGCUUGUUGGUGGGGUAGUGGCUUACCAAGGCUUUGACGGGUAGCCGGCCUGGGAGGGUGACCGGCCACAUGGGGACUGAGAUACGGCCCAGUCUCCUACGGGAGGCAGCAGUGGGGAAUAUUGCACAAUGGGCGGAAGCCUGAUGCAGCAACGCCGCGUGCGGGAUGACGGCCUUCGGGUUGUAAACCGCUUUCGCCUGUGACGAAGCGUGAGUGACGGUAAUGGGUAAAGAAGCACCGGCUAACUACGUG
RNAcentral lists this ribosomal RNA (468 nucleotides) under uncultured bacterium. RNAcentral describes it as "partial 16S ribosomal RNA". It matches the Rfam family "Bacterial small subunit ribosomal RNA", at positions 28 to 507 of the family's 1533-position model. The record is from RNAcentral.